Molecule: ribosomal RNA, 423 nt
Filed under: uncultured cyanobacterium
Lineage: Bacteria; Bacillati; Cyanobacteriota
Description: bacterial SSU rRNA
Rfam family: Bacterial small subunit ribosomal RNA
Source: RNAcentral
GGGGAAUUUUCCGCAAUGGGCGAAAGCCUGACGGAGCAAGACCGCGUGGGGGAUGAAGGUUUGUGGAUUGUAAACCCCUUUUGAUUGGGAAGAAUACUGACGGUACCAAUCGAAUAAGCCUCGGCUAACUCCGUGCCAGCAGCCGCGGUAAUACGGAGGAGGCAAGCGUUAUCCGGAAUUAUUGGGCGUAAAGCGUCCGUAGGUGGUUUAGUAAGUCUGCUGUUAAAGCGCGGGGCUUAACUCCGUAUCGGCAGUGGAAACUACUAGACUAGAGUGUGGUAGGGGUAGAGGGAAUUCCCAGUGUAGCGGUGAAAUGCGUAGAUAUUGGGAAGAACACCGGUGGCGAAAGCGCUCUACUGGGCCAUAACUGACACUGGUGGACGAAAGCUAGGGGAGCGAAAGGGAUUAGAUACCCCUGUAGUC